AAUAUGUACUUCUUCCAUGCCAAAAUCGAUAUUUUAAGGCUCGACCCGGCGGUCUCCCUCUUCGCACCGCCCACUCCUGCCACGGAAAACUUCCUGUUCACGAAGCACAUACAGGUUAUGUCUACCCGAAGAUGUAUCACUAAAUAAAAUGAACGGCACACGAGUCCAUUUCACAGCAGACUCCAAAAUUUUCUUCUUCGCACGUUCCUUCUUCACUAUUGAAUCACUACGGGAAGUCUCGAGACUGAUGAUCGGAGGUGUUCGGCCGCGUGCCGAAAAGUACCGAGUCUCGUUCUAUGUAGUUCCCUCCGUAUCGAGAUUUAUAAACGCGAUAAAAAGGGCCGUAAGUAGAAGAGUAAAAUUAUUCGCGGGCACGAUGCACAGAAUAUGAUUAAUACUAGGAAAAUUAAAUAACACGCACGUACGCGUUAUCAGCAAAUGUAUAAUAAUGGAAAUUUCAAUUGAGCCGAAAAUUUAAACGGCGUCAACUCGUUCCUAGGUUGCGUUUCUCCUUCAAACACAUGAGGUUAUUCUAUAAUUUACUGUCCUUUGUUCAAGGGUUUUUAUUAUUUUAUAUUAAGAUCGACGUGUGUGUAUUUAAAGUACGCGUUUAGAACAAUGUAACGUGUUAAACCCGAAGAGGGGAGAGGCAAAUCAACGAAGACCUGAAGACGAGCGUACCCUUUUGCAAGGGACGCGACGUAGACUGAUGCAGGCUAGUCCUUCUCGCACGACCUACGAAUCGCGAUCCGUGGCCCCCUACCCGUUUCGCUCUGCAACUAAAGAGCGACAGGACCGUGCACUGAUUUCAAGAGUACCCUUCGAUAUAUUACGAUUUAUAAGAAAUUCUGAUAUUAAUAACACGUUUCGUAACAACAACAUGGAAUUUUUACGAAUACAAUAUUUAGCGCUUCGUCGGAUCUAUUAUCCGUUGCCUAUUUGUUAGAAUAAAAAUUAAAGUUAAAGUUUUCUUGUUUGAACAAUGUUAAACAAGUAUAAACGUGUCUUUUUAAUUCUUAAUUUCCGGUACAAGUAUAUAUGACGCCAUUUACUUUGUAAAUAAAUUUUUGUGAUUUUUCUUGAUUCUUAUUCUGUUUGAAAUAAUUAAAAAAUGAUGCGUAAAUGUUUGUAAGACGGCCCUGAAAAGUAGUCAAACGCCAAACCCAUACCACAGCCAUGCUACACCACGCCAAGUCGAAAGUACGAACCGCGUGCGCAACCCAGUGGAGAGUGUAAAGCCCUGCGCAUGCGUAAUGGACGUCGACACGGCAGACCCUUCAACUCGCAUGAAUGCAGUAGGCGCAGCCCCAUGCCUCUCGAGGGUAAAGUGACGUGCAGUCUUGUGCAUGCGCAUACAUAUCUCAUUCGCCUUAACUUUAGAACAUGUCACAGCCGUUAGUCUGUAAUUCGUACUACUGCCGGAACUGUACCCUUUUACAUGGUAUAGAUAUCUUUUAAAUAUUGUAAUUAAAGUAUUUAUACAUAUAUUUAAAAACUUUAUACUCUUUUUCAUAAAUUAUACAAUCAAAACUAACGUAAUUAUUAUUGAAAUAUUAAACGUUUUUUAACGAUUCUGGAUAGCCAAAUUAGCUACAUCCUCAAUUUGGCGUUAGUGAAAUGCACGUGAACGAGAACAGUGGCGUAGCUUUGAUAUGCAUAUGUAAUAGAUAAACUACAUUACUGUUCUACUGGAAAAUUUCAUAUGUUCCUUUUUUCCUGAUAUGUUAAUUAUACGAGAUAAAGUAGAGAGCUCAAAUUCUAUCAUUUCUAACUGAAAAUUUCUCAUAGAAAAACACAUAAUAACUUAACGAAUGAAAAUGUAGAGCUGAUUAUUAGUAGCAAGAAAAAGGGAGAAGGGGCAUAUUUCUUAACGACAAUUAACAGGAUGAAGAAAUGGAGGAAAUAGCAAGAAAAGACGAGUCACGAAGAUGGACGAGCGUAUGCAUGCGUAGGCGAAAAUCCACGAGCGCGUGGGUACAGAAACACGAGAGGCGUGCUUGACUUGGUUCAGACGAGGAACAAGAUCCGCGGAAUCGUGUGUAUAGGUUAGGUAGGUAACCCAGUUUCGCCGGUGCACCAGGCCAAGCUGCAGCAACGCCGUUCGGCGAUCGAUACUUAUAUGCAGCCGGUACUACCCACAGCCUAGAUUCGCUUGUCUAGGAUAGGUGCAAGAAGGGGAUUGCGUGACCUACAUCUCAAGAAUAAGUAUAACAAAAAUAUGAUUUAGGCUGCCAAAAUCAGGGAUUAUUCGUCAGCAAAGACCGAUCGAAGGGAAAAAAGCAUAUAGCUAUUACGAUGAUACAUGGACAUAAGCUAAUCAAACCAAUUUUCAACAACACGAUACAUUUAAUUUCAAACUGUAGGUAUAAAAAUUGUACAUCUUAAGAAUCAUCUCUAAGAAUCGUGUUUCUCGAGAGAGAAGAAAUAAAUAAACAUAUUGUUCUUGACUUUGAAAUGAUCUUCCCGAAGCAAUAUUCAAGAUAAAAAGUGAACCUAAGUUACGUUUCGUUUUUAUGUUUCUACUUUGUGACGCGUCCACGUAUAUCGUAUACCUAACGUCUGCGUCGCAUAUUUUCGAGGGAGGGUUAAAGUUGAAACAACCGAAGAGAAGGGAGGGAGAAACGUCUGGGACAUUUAGGUGAAAGAAAAACCGAAGAUUUCGGGGAUGAGAGCUAGACCUGUAACCUCUGGUAACCUUCGGUUGUCUCGGUUCAACCAUUUCGCCCAGUCGAGACGCGGUAGUUCAAAGUCCUCUGGUGAAAACAUAGCCAGUGACUCAUGCUUGCCAAAAGAAUUCAAGGAAACCAGGCAUGGCUGUAAACUUUUCCAAAGUACACAAUGAUUCACUAAUAAUUAUGCCUUUAAAAUGAAACCCCCAGCAAUUUUCAAAUUCUCCAUAAUAGUAUUAUUAAAUGGCAUCAAAAACGGAUUAAUUAAAAAAAAAAAAAAAUUAAUUACACUAAAUUAAAUGUAGAAAGUGAAAUUUUUGUCUUUCUUUGGGCCGACAAAAGAAUGCAUCUCAUAAAAUUGCAGAGGAUGGUUGCGGUAGUUGAGGAACGAGAAAGAAAGUAGACAGAAGGUGCACACGGACCAUAGAAGUCAGUUUCCAGGGGUCUUUGAGCCCUCGAGCCGUUGACCUUGGAAAGGUAGCAUGGAGAUGUUGUGGUGUGAGAGCAGUAGUACUCUACUCUCUACGUGGGCGUUCGGUAGGAGGUUACAAGUCUGCGAGAGGAAAAAGGCCGGUCACAACGCAACGUUAGGAAAAGGAGUAACGUGGACCAACGAACGUCUCGACGAAGACAGAGGGUCGAUAUUUACCGGCUUUCCCUCUUUCCCCCAGCCGGCCAACGACCUACCACCCUUGCGUAUCUCCUAAACUCGCUCUUCUCUACCCUCUAUCGCUUUCUCUCUUAUGUUCAAUUUCCCUCGCCCUUGCCUCCUUCCCAGACGUCUCCCCUCUUUCUUGCCACCCUUAGCAGUGUCGCUACGUUACACGUUUAUUGCGUUCUAACCCUGAAACGACCCAACUUGUGUCCCUUGAGACGUCUAACUACCAAGAAACAUAUCGUGGUCAAGAACAGGGACUUGAUCGUGGUUCAUCGAAUACCCGUGAGCACGAAAGACUUUUAUGCUUCUUUAUUACUUUUAUACUUGUAACUAUGCGGUUGGUAACAAAUUUUGGAAGAGAUAAUUUUAAUACACUCGAAUUAGAAUAAGAUAUACUCAAAAUAUACGAAAUACAUCCGUAUUUAAACUUACUGCCAUAACCUGGCGGGAACAAAGUUGCACUGCCACCUGUAGGUAAAUACUUUCAACGAAUACAAGUCAACUCGGGCGGUAAAAAAAAGAAAUAAACCUAGAAAAUUUUCAGUGAAAUAAAACGGUGCGCAAGUAAAAUAAUAGAAAAAAGGUGCAUAAACUGGUUUGGAGUUAGAACCUUCUAUUUAUUAUAUUAUUAUACGUAGUAAUAAAGUAAAGAGAAAAUACAUUCUGACUCUUAGGAAAUAUUUCCUUCUGUGCCACGACCCUUGUUAAGCUUCUAAACUUUUAUUGGCCAGUUUUAUUGUACUUCUAACGACCAGUUUAUGAGUAAGAAUCUCAAACAACGGAAUCGGGUAACACCGAAGCCUAACGGUGAACAAUUAGAGAUAGCAGAAAAAGUGGUGUUGACUCACUUAAAGUUGCAUUAAUGUUGGAUAUACAGCAGGGCAAUAAAAGCAAGAAUUCAACAACUAUUUCAAUAGAGUAUACGACACUUAAUCACAAUUUAAAGGAGAAAGUUCAUGAAUCAACUUUAAAUCUAUUGUUCUGUUUGAAUGAAAGAUAAUGAAACAAAAGAAAUUUAGAAAAACAGAAUAUUUAACUUGAUAAACAUUAAUAUAUAUAACGUUUCAUUCUAUCCAUUGAAGUACUUUUAUAGCAAGUAACGAUUCGUUUACAGUAAACAUUCCAUAAAAUCACUAUAGUAACUUGUAUCUUUUGAAUCUGAUAGUUAUGUAUGUAGUUAAUACAUAUACGUAAGUAUAUCUAUAAAUUAAAGAAAAAAGAAAAAAUUAUUCGACCAUGCGUGAACGUACACUUUCUAUCAGGAACUGUUUAGAAUCUGGUUUACCAACCAAUGUACAACAGGCACGUGGUUAAAUGUCACAAUUCUAAGGCGCUAUAAAUUAAAUCUGAAUAAAUUAUAUAACGUGUAAUAAGCUGUCAGUACCGCGGAACGAUAUUUUAACGACAGAACGUUUCAUGCAACGAAGUUACAAGAAAGGAUAAUAUUGUGAAAAUUCAAAAUAAAUUAUAUGAUUUUGAAAGUAAAUUGUAACUUUGAAGAGAAAGUAAUGGCUGGAAAUUUAGAAUAUCGCAUCUGGUUAAUUGAUUUUCAAAAUUAUUCGUAAUUAUCGGCGUGUUGAUAAAAUUAUACGCAUCUUUAACAGGUAUAAAAAUUUUUCAAAUCACAAAUUUGAAAACAAGCCGCGAGCCGACAGAACUUAAUAUUCAGAUCUGAAAACAAUGCAAAGUAAAAUGUAUAUUCAUGAGACGUAUUCGAAUCGUCUGACGAUUAUACUCUUUAUUGUGAAUAAACGGAAGCAAAUUCCUUGCGAAUUCCAACGUAACGGGUUUCAUACAUUUACAGAAACUUUCUACAACGAAAUAUCAUUUCUGUGAGGAUUCAAAAUGCUUGAAGCGUUACGAACCGAAAGAAUUCUUACUUAUUUAACGCGUGUAUCGAAUCGAAAAAUCUUCAAUUUAUAAACGAAGAUUACAAAGUAUCUAAAUAAUAAUCUUGUAAAAAAUUAGUUCUAAAUCAACGACGUCUAUGUCCUAUCUAUGUACCUAACCUAACUUUCUAUAGUUUAUUUAUACCUAUUCGUGGUUAUAACGAAUAACGAACCGAAAGAAGAAAUAGCAACGAAAUGCAAGGUAGCUGUAAAAGCACCACGGUCAUUUCAAAAGCGAGAAGAGAUCGGCAAGAAGCAAGCAAAGUACGGUUAGUUUCUCCCCGGAUGUCUGAUGGCCUCUUUCUCGUACAAGCGGCCUUGUCAGGAAUGCACAUUUUCUGCCGGUACACGCCGUUUACUUCGGCUUCGAUUCGAAUCAAUGCACAGACCACCUUUCACCUAUCGUCUAUCGUUUAUCGUCUCUUAAUCAGGCGACAGUGCUCGUUAUCGUUCAACAUCAUCGCGAUGCACUUCUUGUCGUUCGAAUCAUCUCAGGCAUUUAGUAUGGACGCGUUCGGUUUCAACUUUCAACUCUCAACCUUUUUCAGGAAUUUUACGUUCACGAUACACGUGAUACGCCAACUGGUAGAGUAAUUCGUCAGCUAACCAGUGAUUACUGACUGAUGCGACAUCUUCCGAAAUUCAUCGCAACUUUCAUUUCACAUCUGACGGAGGAUAAUAGUUUAAAAGUACUUGUUCGUUUCGCAUAAAUUUACUUUUGCAUGCGAUAGAUUAAUAAUUAAAUAUGGAAAAAAGAAACGAACCAAUCCACCCUCUUUCACUCACACACGCGCACAGACAGUUGUUUAUUAUUAUUAUUUAUGUAAAUAAAAAUCUUUGUAACAAUGAAAUAUUAUAAAAAUCA
Long non-coding RNA from Osmia bicornis bicornis, 6081 nucleotides. RefSeq lists it as uncharacterized. The record is from RefSeq and is a predicted model, not a curated record. The transcript has 2 exons. Lineage: Eukaryota; Metazoa; Arthropoda; Insecta; Hymenoptera; Megachilidae.